UGAAUCGUUUUGAGUAACCCCCCGUGCACAGUAGUGUCUGAUGAAAAUGAAAGUCAUAAAGAACUGUUAGAGCCCACAGGAAGCACAAUUCGAACACAGCGACCCCCGAAAGCUCUGAACUCCAAACUCACAAGACCCGUCCUCAGGACCCGGCUCAGAGCAAAUGUCCCCCAGUUUGGUGCCUGUAGGUUUGAAAAUAGUGUCAUUUCUUGAGACGGAUGAGGGGCUGGCUUCUCAGCCUCCCAGACAUAAAUGGGUGCACUUGUUGAUGUUGCUUGUUAAAGGUUUUCUGUCGGUGGACAUCCACAGAUCACCGGUGUUUUCCAGCUCCAACUAAAACAGAGGAAAGACAAGUAGAAUAAAAAACAGUGUUGAUGUUUUAAAGUUGGUCGAUUUCAUUAAAACAGAGCGAUAACUUUAACACAUCUGUCUGCAGUCGGCCCACUUCUUCGACACGAUGGACAUGAUGGAGCAGGUGCCAGAAGCUGCAGAGAUGAAGAGCGCUCUCCAGAGGCAGAAGGCACGUCUGUCCUGCGUCCGUCCAUCUGUUGUGUUUCAGCUGCACUUCAUCCUGUGUUUGUGUGAACUCUGGCCCAGCACGCUCCCUGCCCGGGAUCACCCAGUCUCAGCCAGCAGGCAGCUGGAAUUAGGAGCAGAACCUCCACUCUUCCUAUUGGGUACCACAUCUGGCUUGACUUUUCUCCAGUUCCUCAUAAAAGAUCUUCGCAAACCUACGUUUGUGUGUGUGCUUCAUCAUCCUCAUCGCUAUCAGUGUCUGUCUUUAAACAGUGUUUGCCUGAUCAGUGUAGUCUGGAAUAAAUAUUGAUGGUAAAGUUGGGCAGAGGUUUGUAUCCUCUCACCUGACAGUAGUCCUCGUGACACCAUGAGCUUGUCGUCUUUCAGACAUCAAACUGAGACUAAGCUCAGUUUUUCAGGAAGUGGUACAAAUCUAUUUUCAGGUCUUAAUGGUGCUGCAGAUAGUUGUGAGCAUUUGAGAAUGAUAGAAAACCCCAAAACAUUCAUUUUUAAUUGGAUUAUCAGAUUUUUUUUCUCUCAGUACCUAAAUAUUAGGACACGGGUGCAAGCUUUUGUCAUUCUGGUGACUUCUGCUUCGUCUCUUUUAGGACGACUACAUUCCUUAUCCGAGGAUCGAGGAGGUGAGAGUUCUUCAACCAACCACAGGAGGGCGGUACAGCUAACGCUGUGACUCAGCAGAAAUAUUCAGUCGGCCAUCUUUAAGCUACGUAUACACCAGGCACACGAUGCUCAUUCAACAAUGCACUUAUACACAUUUCUGAAUGUGCUUUUAGCAAACGGUAUUCACAAAGGUGUGUUGCUACACCAACGUACUCACAGUUGGAAGAGGCUUGGUGCCAAAUGUCAAGGUGGUACAGAAUCUUGUAAACCUUGCUCCAGGGAAUUUUCUUCCAAAGCUCUAUUCCGAUAUUAGAAAACAUCAUCUACAUUAGCACAUAGCAGCCACUGCUUGGAAAAUACCUGACAACAUCGGUUUAAUCAUUUUUAAAAGUCAAGCUAAAACAAUAAGUCAUGGCUUACAUUUAAAUGUAAACGUCUGUGCUUGAGAGAGAGAGCACACACACGUAAACAAAUGUGUUUCUCCUCCACGUCGAAACACCCUCCCGGCGGUAGGACACCCAGUCACCACGGCUCCUACAUAAAAAAAACAAUUUCCAACACCACUAAACCUCCAAAUGCCCCAGACGUCUGCCAGACACCUGCUGCUCUACAGCCCAUCAUCAUCAUCGAUGGAGCAGAGGUGGAGGUGGUCACCACCUACAAUAAAACCUCGGAGUCCUGCUAGACAAUAAACGGAGCAAAUAUGGACGCCAUCUUCAGAGCAGGAUGUGCUUUUUAAAAAGACUCGCCUCCAUUCUGGAAGGCUGUUGUCUGCAGGGCCCUGGACCGGAGGUGUGUCUUACCCGGUGCAGUGAGACUGUAUGACACUGCUGGGAAAAGGUGGCAAGAGGGGGGGGCUUUACACCAUGAAUGUCCAGCUGCGCUUUACUGUUUAUUUUGGGUUAUUUCUUAUAUUUCAACACUUUUUACUUAUUUAUUUAUGUAUUUACUUAUUUUUAUUUUAAAGUCUGUUUAAAUCCGCGUGAAUGAUCUAGAGCUGCAGAUUGCAACAUACAGGUAUUUCCCUUGUGAUCAAUAAAGUAUCUAUCAGUCAAUCAAUAGUGAGGAGUCAGAGCGGUUGGUGUCAUGUUAUAUACUGUGGGGCGUGGACAAACUGCCUUUAGAAACAUUUCCUCCAAUCUUCAAACGGUUGGCACUUCAGUGAAAUAAAAAGGACGCUAUCCAUAUGUCACUACCAAUUCCCAGUCCCUGAUUGGUCGAAAUUCAACUGAAGGUUUAUGGCUUGUUCGAUGGCAGUACCUUUUGUGUGUGUGUGUGAGUCCAAAAACUGACUUUCAAAAUUGUGUAGCAACGCCACACAAUGUGUUUGGAAACAUUCAUUGCAAUUGGUCGCUUGAACCUGUGUUUCUGAGCCCGGAGUCAACAUAGCAUACGAGUGAUUUUCAUAAAAAAAACAGAGAAUUCCGUAUUUCACUAUUUCUUCUUCUACAGCCGUUUCCGGUAUUUUGGAGAGUUCGUCACACAGAAUGAUUUAUUCAGACUGAAAGUGUGGCGUAUGUAAACGUUUGUUAUAAUCGGAAAAGGUUUUUCUGGGCCCACGUGCACAGUUCAGUUCUGAUCCGAUCAAAGACAUUUUGGUUAUGUAACUGCAGCUGCUGACAGUUAUCUGCUGAUGACGACAGAAACCAAAAACACUUUGAAGAUAAAGUGCAAACACAAAGACACAAGCUUAUGGAGAACAAAAAAACAU
RNAcentral lists this long non-coding RNA (2848 nucleotides) under Oryzias sinensis (Chinese medaka). Its description in RNAcentral is "lncRNA (ENSOSIG00000016165.1)". Lineage: Eukaryota; Metazoa; Chordata; Actinopteri; Beloniformes; Adrianichthyidae. The record is from RNAcentral.